UGCGAAGGGGGCUAGCGUUGCUCGGAAUUACUGGGCGUAAAGGGAGCGUAGGCGGACUGUUAAGUUAGAGGUGAAAGCCCAGGGCUCAACCUUGGAAUUGCCUUUGAUACUGGCAGUCUUGAGUACGGAAGAGGUAUGUGGAACUCCGAGUGUAGAGGUGAAAUUCGUAGAUAUUCGGAAGAACACCAGUGGCGAAGGCGACAUACUGGUCCGUUACUGACGCUGAGGCUCGAAAGCGUGGGGAGCAAACAGG
RNAcentral lists this ribosomal RNA (253 nucleotides) under uncultured bacterium. Its description in RNAcentral is "partial 16S ribosomal RNA". It matches the Rfam family "Bacterial small subunit ribosomal RNA", at positions 524 to 776 of the family's 1533-position model. The record is from RNAcentral.